RNAcentral lists this transfer RNA (76 nucleotides) under Actinomadura macrotermitis. RNAcentral describes it as "Actinomadura sp. RB68 tRNA-Arg". It matches the Rfam family "tRNA". Rfam says of the family: Transfer RNA (tRNA) molecules are approximately 80 nucleotides in length. Their secondary structure includes four short double-helical elements and three loops (D, anti-codon, and T loops). Further hydrogen bonds mediate the characteristic L-shaped molecular structure. tRNAs have two regions of fundamental functional importance: the anti-codon, which is responsible for specific mRNA codon recognition, and the 3' end, to which the tRNAs corresponding amino acid is attached (by aminoacyl-tRNA synthetases). tRNAs cope with the degeneracy of the genetic code in two manners: having more than one tRNA (with a specific anti-codon) for a particular amino acid; and 'wobble' base-pairing, i.e. permitting non-standard base-pairing at the 3rd anti-codon position. The record is from RNAcentral. Lineage: Bacteria; Bacillati; Actinomycetota; Actinomycetes; Streptosporangiales; Thermomonosporaceae.
GCGCCCAUAGCUCAGCCGGAUAGAGCAUCGGACUUCUAAUCCGACGGUCGGGGGUUCGAAUCCCUCUGGGCGCGCC